UACGGCGGGUGCAAGCGUUGUCCGGAUUUAUUGGGUUUAAAGGGUGCGUAGGCGGCCCGGUAAGUCAGUGGUGAAAGCCUCCAGCUCAACUGGAGAACUGCCAUUGAUACUGCCGGGCUUGAGUACAGACGAGGUUGGCGGAAUUGAUUGUGUAGCGGUGAAAUGCAUAGAUACAAUCAAGAACUCCGAUUGCGGAGGCAGCUAACUAGGCUGUAACUGACGCUGAGGCACGAAAGCGUGGGGAGCGAACAGG
This 253-nucleotide ribosomal RNA is filed under the name uncultured bacterium. RNAcentral's name for it is "partial 16S ribosomal RNA". It matches the Rfam family "Bacterial small subunit ribosomal RNA", at positions 524 to 776 of the family's 1533-position model. The record is from RNAcentral.